Molecule: ribosomal RNA, 301 nt
Filed under: uncultured bacterium
Lineage: Bacteria
Description: partial 16S ribosomal RNA
Rfam family: Bacterial small subunit ribosomal RNA
Source: RNAcentral
CAGUAGCCACGGUAAUACGUAGGGUGCAAGCGUUAAUCGGAAUUACUGGGCGUAAAGCGUGCGCAGGCGGUUAUAUAAGACAGAUGUGAAAUCCCCGGGCUCAACCUGGGAACUGCAUUUGUGACUGUAUAGCUAGAGUACGGCAGAGGGGGAUGGAAUUCCGCGUGUAGCAGUGAAAUGCGUAGAUAUGCGGAGGAACACCGAUGGCGAAGGCAAUCCCCUGGGCCUGUACUGACGCUCAUGCACGAAAGCGUGGGGAGCAAACAGGAUUAGAUACCCCGGUAGUCCCUGUCUCUUAUAA